This 67-nucleotide microRNA precursor is filed under the name Bombyx mori (domestic silkworm). Its description in RNAcentral is "mir-2774 microRNA precursor family". It matches the Rfam family "mir-2774 microRNA precursor family". The record is from Rfam by way of RNAcentral. Lineage: Eukaryota; Metazoa; Arthropoda; Insecta; Lepidoptera; Bombycidae.
ACAACAUUCGGACCGUCGGUCUACCGAGCAAUAUCACCCGCUCAGUGUAAGAUUUUCCCUUUGUCGU